This 425-nucleotide ribosomal RNA is filed under the name uncultured bacterium. RNAcentral describes it as "bacterial SSU rRNA". It matches the Rfam family "Bacterial small subunit ribosomal RNA", at positions 34 to 507 of the family's 1533-position model. The record is from RNAcentral.
CGCUGGCGGCAGGCCUAACACAUGCAAGUCGAGCGCCCCGCAAGGGGAGCGGCGGACGGAUGAGUAACGCGUGGGAACGUACCCUUUGCUACGGAAUAGCCUCGGGAAACUGGGAGUAAUACCGUAUGUGCCCUUCGGGGGAAAGAUUUAUCGGCAAAGGAUCGGCCCGCGUUGGAUUAGGUAGUUGGUGGGGUAAUGGCCUACCAAGCCGACGAUCCAUAGCUGGUUUGAGAGGAUGAUCAGCCACACUGGGACUGAGACGCGGCCCAGACUCCUACGGGAGGCAGCAGUGGGGAAUCUUAGACAAUGGGCGCAAGCCUGAUCUAGCCAUGCCGCGUGAGCGAUGAAGGCCUUAGGGUUGUAAAGCUCUUUCAGUGGGGAAGAUAAUGACUGUACCCACAGAAGAAGCCCCGGCUAACUCCGUG